AAUAUUAAUUACAGAGAUUUUAAUUUAAAAUAAAAUGCUAAAAUUUAAGAAGUAAGAUUUGCUAACAUUAAACUUUUUAACGAUGUGUUAAAAUCACCAAAGCUAGCAGCUUACGAAGCAUCUAGCUUUCUGUUAUGUCUAUGCAGUGGACGGCGAGAUGUGCAAGUGAAACUUAACCUCUCAUCACAUCAGAAAUGAUAGCGUUAGCUGUGCUCAGUGCAGUGAAGGAAGCAGCUACUUGCUCCUUUGCUUCAGUUGAUCCUGCCUAGUCAGCUGACUCCUGGCUGCCUAUAAAUUCUUCCUUUGUCACUUCCUGUUUAGCUGUUUGAGCUCACUUGUGGUUGGUAGCAGUGUGUUGAUGAUCAUAGAAAGAAACUGUGUUUGUUAUAGCGAUUUAUUGAAUUGGAGUUUGUGUAUGUAUCUGAGGAAAAUCUGUGACAGUGCGUUAGUUCUUGUUUUGUUGUCCUUAAAAAUCUGACCUCUGCCUGUUAACAGACUAAUCUGCUGUUUUGCUUUCGUUGGAUUUUUUUUCGCUGAUUGGAAAUAUUUUUACUUAUUAAAUGGGGAAUUUGACUCCUUUUUCUUUUGUACUUUCUUUUCUGAUUGAUUGUUUUGUGGACAAGGGAGUUUGGUAAUAAAGUGUAUUUUCUUUUAUUUCCUUUAGUUGAAAAUAGGGAAUUUAGAGGGCAUUUGAAUUUAGUUUGGUUUGUUUAUUAUUUUCUAUUAUUUUGACAUUAUUAUAAUGUUUUAAUUUAAUUUUAAAUAUGUGAUUUUUGAUUAUUAUGUCAAGGAUUGCUCUUUAAAAUAUGCUGGUUUUAUUAUAAACUUUGUUUUAUUAUUAUGUACAUUUCACAUACAUAAAUCCAAGUUUGCCAAAUGCAAACCUCUCUUCGUGGUGCUAGAAAUAGAGAUUCAAAUAUAUGUAAAAGUGAUUUCUAAAUCUAAAAAUAGUCAUAAAAACAGUUAAUAUAAGCUAGUCAACAUUAAUUUAGAUAGAUCUAUAAUUACAAUUUCUACUAUUUAAAACUUAUUUUUAGAUAUCUGCAAAUAUUUUUUAAUAGAAGAAUAUGACUAGUCACAAUAGGGUUGUAGAUAUCUCUAAUGUAUAAUAUGACUAGUCAAAAUUGCAAUAUAGAUAUCUUCAAUGCAUAUUAUGUCUAGUCAAAAUUGUAAUAUAGUAAUCUGGAGUUGGAUUCAUGACUAGUUUAGCAAGGGGUUUUUAUUGCUAAAACGGCUUGCCAUACUAACGUGUCCUGUCUGAUAACUGACCAGUAGCUGACGAAUAUGCCCAAACAUGGCUUUUGGACCAAUAACCAAUACUAAAACAGAUAGCGCAGCAUCACUAGUGACUAGGAGAAAGCUUGAGGGUCGUUUUGUUGUUGACACGGAUAAGAGGAUAGCGGAUGCAAUGUUAGAUUUACACGAUUAAAUAAACGUUAUUAACUGGUUCUGUGGCAGAUAGUUGUGCCUCAGGGAGCGCGAAGCUAUCAGGUAGCAUACUAUGAACACACAGCAGCGAUUUUCAUUUGAUUUUUACUUGAUUUUGUACAGGGAAGAGGUUUGGGAAUAAAUCUCUGACGAUCAGGAGUCGCUAUUUUUGACAUGACAAAAGUUAGGGUUUGGCCCUAUCAGAAUCGCACAGUUGAAUAAGAUAAACUCUUUGAGAGUUUAAAAUAAUUUGUCAUAUGGAGACAUUAAAAAAAUGGAAAAAAAAAACUUUAUUUUAUUACAGGACUCAAAGGGUGAAUAUUCCCGUUUAACCACAUUAAUAGUAUUGCCUACACAAGCUCUUGAACUGAAAUGAGACUGUUAACUAAAAGUCAUCACUGCAACACAGCAGAUAACCCAUGUCCUGCUUUAAAUAGGCAUAAAUAAAAUAAUAAAGCCAGAUACUGUAUCAAAGGUUAUUACGGUUGGAAUAUAGAACUGACGACAGGUGUAGGCAUGUGAUUUUAUCAGGUUCUAGCAUGUAAACAAGUUACCAUGAGUCACAAAAAAUGUUUAAGUGAAAUAAGAGUUUAAGUACUUGCAGUAAUAUACAUAUACAUGAAUGUUAAUUAAGUCCUACCUAAAACAGCUUUAACUCUCCCUUAGAAACUCUUGAGUGCUAUGCUACAUUUAAAAAUGAAAACUGAAGUUAAACACAACAGUGAAUGAAUGCAGUCAACAAUAAAAAUAAUAAUCACACUAACCAUUUUCCACCCUUUUUUAAACCACUUUUAUUGUUAAUAAAAAAGAAAGUGCAAAAUUCACGAGAUGCUCAGUUUUUAACAAAGCCAGAAAUAUAUAUUGACUUAAAGUUGGUUUUAUAUUUACGCAUUCGUUCAGUGACAACUUUUGACAUGCUCACUAUAAAUAUUGGACUUGAAAUCACAUGCAAGUAUGACUUCAAAACAACAUUAGCACUAUUCCAUUGACUGUGAGCUAUCUUGUACUUUGAUAGUCAUUGGCUGCUAAUAUCAUUUCACCAUUUGGAAUUUGCAAAGAAUACUUUUCUGAAACUAUAUUAUUAAGGAGAAACUCUGAAUGUGCCGACAUAAAACCAACUUUACCUAAAUAAAACAUAUUAGGACAAAUUAGUGUACAGAUUAACAGACUUAAACAGAAACAACAGAAAUAAUAUGUACAGUCAUAACAGUGAAAACAGUGAUAUUUAUCAGAUAUUGUAAAGGCACUUUAAAUGACAGCAAUACAAUCAACCACUAACCACAUUUAGGAAAUAGCUUAAUUAAGGCCCCUAAGGAACAGCAUGAAAAUAUCCAUAUAACACUGAUGCAUCCUAUAUCAUGAAGAAAUAUGAGAUUACACAUUAUUUUAUGUAAGCUGAGAAUUAAAUCUAAACUAA
Molecule: non-coding RNA, 2845 nt
Organism: Danio rerio (zebrafish)
Lineage: Eukaryota; Metazoa; Chordata; Actinopteri; Cypriniformes; Danionidae
Source: RefSeq, a predicted model, not a curated record